Molecule: ribosomal RNA, 1343 nt
Filed under: uncultured bacterium
Lineage: Bacteria
Description: 16S ribosomal RNA
Rfam family: Bacterial small subunit ribosomal RNA
Source: RNAcentral
GACGAACGCUGGCGGCGUGCUUAACACAUGCAAGUCGAACGGAAAGGCCCUGCUUUUGUGGGGUGCUCGAGUGGCGAACGGGUGAGUAACACGUGAGUAACCUGCCCUUGACUUUGGGAUAACCUCAGGAAACUGGGGCUAAUACCGGAUAGGAGCUCCUGCUGCAUGGUGGGGGUUGGAAAGUUUCGGCGGUUGGGGAUGGACUCGCGGCUUAUCAGCUUGUUGGUGGGGUAGUGGCUUACCAAGGCUUUGACGGGUAGCCGGCCUGAGAGGGUGACCGGCCACAUUGGGACUGAGAUACGGCCCAGACUCCUACGGGAGGCAGCAGUGGGGAAUAUUGCACAAUGGGCGGAAGCCUGAUGCAGCAACGCCGCGUGCGGGAUGACGGCCUUCGGGUUGUAAACCGCUUUCGCCUGUGACGAAGCGUGAGUGACGGUAAUGGGUAAAGAAGCACCGGCUAACUACGUGCCAGCAGCCGCGGUGAUACGUAGGGUGCGAGCGUUGUCCGGAUUUAUUGGGCGUAAAGGGCUCGUAGGUGGUUGAUCGCGUCGGAAGUGUAAUCUUGGGGCUUAACCCUGAGCGUGCUUUCGAUACGGGUUGACUUGAGGAAGGUAGGGGAGAAUGGAAUUCCUGGUGGAGCGGUGGAAUGCGCAGAUAUCAGGAGGAACACCAGUGGCGAAGGCGGUUCUCUGGGCCUUUCCUGACGCUGAGGAGCGAAAGCGUGGGGAGCGAACAGGCUUAGAUACCCUGGUAGUCCACGCUGUAAACGGUGGGUACUAGGUGUGGGGUCCAUUCCACGGGUUCCGUGCCGUAGCUAACGCUUUAAGUACCCCGCCUGGGGAGUACGGCCGCAAGGCUAAAACUCAAAGGAAUUGACGGGGCCCCGCACAAGCGGCGGAGCAUGCGGAUUAAUUCGAUGCAACGCGUAGAACCUUACCUGGGUUUGACAUGGAUCGGGAGCGCUCAGAGAUGGGUGUGCCUCUUUUGGGGUCGGUUCACAGGUGGUGCAUGGCUGUCGUCAGCUCGUGUCGUGAGAUGUUGGGUUAAGUCCCGCAACGAGCGCAACCCUUGUUCACUGUUGCCAGCACGUUAUGGUGGGGACUCAGUGGAGACCGCCGGGGUCAACUCGGAGGAAGGUGGGGAUGACGUCAAGUCAUCAUGCCCCUUAUGUCCAGGGCUUCACGCAUGCUACAAUGGCUGGUACAGAGAGUGGCGAGCCUGUGAGGGUGAGCGAAUCUCGGAAAGCCGGUCUCAGUUCGGAUUGGGGUCUGCAACUCGACCUCAUGAAGUCGGAGUCGCUAGUAAUCGCAGAUCAGCAACGCUGCGGUGAAUACGUUCCCGGG